CUCCCAAAACCCAUCACUUUUACAUCUUCCCUAAAUUUCAAAUGGACAUUGAAUUGAUCGAGUUCCAUUUGCUCUUUUAACUGUAACAUCUCGUCGUUUUACGGGAAGUUUAUUUAUACGUUGUUCACCUCCUCUAUCACAACCAACUCUUACAUAACGAUCUUUUUUUGACUUUUUGAUGACUAUUGCGAAUCCAAGCGGCGAAGCAACUUCACGUAUGCAAGAUAGGAGCUUUUCACGUUCUGAGUAACGCGUUGUUGAUAUAGACAUAAAUUCAUUUUCUCCAAAAUAUGGUGCAUUAUCUUCCUGCCCAGACAUCGUAUUGUAACCUGCUAAAUAUUGCACAUUUUCAGUUCGAAAUCAUAUAUCAUCAAGCUAGUAACUUACAAGUUAUAGUUAGUAAAAUCAUACAAAUUAGAUUUAAAUCAAACACAAUUCAAAAGGAAGGAAAAACACACAAUACCUUCGUUAUUAGAGUUGCUAGAAGGUCCUGAAUCAGAGAAGUGUGUGAGAAAUUCUGAAAGAUUCUCAACAUUAUUUGAUUUGAUCAGAUCAAUUAGUUGAUUUAAUCCAGCAAUUCUCCAUCA
This 587-nucleotide long non-coding RNA is filed under the name Daucus carota (carrot). Its description in RNAcentral is "long non-coding RNA (DCAR_LNC003106)". Lineage: Eukaryota; Viridiplantae; Streptophyta; Magnoliopsida; Apiales; Apiaceae. The record is from RNAcentral.